This is a non-coding RNA of Trichobilharzia regenti, 49 nucleotides long. The record is from Rfam. NCBI's taxonomy places the organism in Eukaryota, Metazoa, Platyhelminthes, Trematoda, Strigeidida, Schistosomatidae.
GUACUGCUGAAGAGUCCCAAACUAGUGUGACGGAACAGCUGUCCAGUAC